GGUUGAUCCUGCCAGUAGUCAUAUGCUUGUCUCAAAGAUUAAGCCAUGCAUGUCUAAGUACGUGCCUUUACAAGGUGAAACCGCGAAUGGCUCAUUAAAUCAGUCAUGGUUUACUAGACCGUUCUAUCCUACUUGGAUAACUGUGGUAAUUCUAGAGCUAAUACAUGCCAAGAGUCUCCUGCCCUUGUGGCUCGAGCGCUUUUAUUAGACCAAAACCAAUCGAGUACUUGUGCUCGUUAGUUUGUGGUGACUCUGGAUAACUUUGAGCAGAUCGCACGGUCUUUGUGCCGGCGACGUAUCUUUCAAAUGUCUGCCUUAUCAACUGUCGAUGGUAGGUUACUUGCCUACCAUGGUUGUAACGGGUGACGGGGAAUCAGGGUUCGAUUCCGGAGAGGGAGCCUGAGAAACGGCUGCCACAUCCAAGGAAGGCAGCAGGCACGCAAAUUACCCACUCCCAGCACGGGGAGGUAGUGACGAAAAAUAACGAUGCGGGACUCUUACGAGGCCCCGUAAUCGGAAUGAGCACACUUUAAAUCCUUUAACAAGGACCUAUUGAAGGGCAAGUCUGGUGCCAGCAGCCGCGGUAAUUCCAGCUUCAAUAGCGUAUAUUAAAGUUGUUGCGGUUA
This 626-nucleotide ribosomal RNA is filed under the name Glyphiulus impletus. RNAcentral's name for it is "SSU rRNA". It matches the Rfam family "Eukaryotic small subunit ribosomal RNA", at positions 6 to 621 of the family's 1831-position model. The record is from RNAcentral. Lineage: Eukaryota; Metazoa; Arthropoda; Diplopoda; Spirostreptida; Cambalopsidae.